This 345-nucleotide unclassified non-coding RNA is filed under the name uncultured fungus. Its description in RNAcentral is "partial contains 5.8S ribosomal RNA and internal transcribed spacer 2". The stretch from base 1 to 134 matches the Rfam family "5.8S ribosomal RNA", at positions 22 to 154 of the family's 154-position model. The record is from RNAcentral. Lineage: Eukaryota; Fungi.
UGGUUCUGGCAUCGAUGAAGAACGCAGCGAAAUGCGAUAAGUAAUGCGAAUUGCAGAAUUUCCGUGAGUCAUCGAAUCUUUGAACGCACAUUGCGCCCUUUGGCAUUCCGAAGGGCAUGCCUGUUCGAGCGUCAUUAUCCUCCCUCAAACCUCUCGGGGUUUGGUGUUGGACCACGGGGGCGUCACCGCGCACCCCCCGGGUCUCAAAGACAAUGACGGCGUCCGUGGGACCCUCUUCGCACUGAGCUUUCCGGAGCACGCGUCGAGUCGCAAGGUCCCUCGGGCCCGGUCACACCUCACAUAUUUUACCAGGUUGACCUCGGAUCAGGUAGGAAUACCCGCUGA